This 388-nucleotide ribosomal RNA is filed under the name uncultured bacterium. RNAcentral's name for it is "bacterial SSU rRNA". It matches the Rfam family "Bacterial small subunit ribosomal RNA", at positions 28 to 417 of the family's 1533-position model. The record is from RNAcentral.
GACGAACGCUGGCGGCGUGCUUAACACAUGCAAGUCGAGCGGUAAGGCCCUUUCGGGGGUACACGAGCGGCGAACGGGUGAGUAACACGUGGGUGACCUGCCCUUAGCUCUGGGAUAAGCCUGGGAAACUGGGUCUAAUACCGGAUAUGACUCCAUGACGCAUGUUGUGGGGUGGGAAGCCUUGUGCGGCUAGGGAUGGGCCCGCGGCCUAUCAGCUUGUUGGUGGGGUGAUGGCCUACCAAGGCGACGACGGGUAGCCGGCCUGAGAGGGCGACCGGCCACACUGGGACUGAGACACGGCCCAGACUCCUACGGGAGGCAGCAGUGGGGAAUCUUGCGCAAUGGGCGAAAGCCUGACGCAGCGACGCCGCGUGAGGGAUGACGGCCU